Cavia aperea (Brazilian guinea pig) is the source of this 107-nucleotide small nuclear RNA. The record is from Ensembl. NCBI's taxonomy places the organism in Eukaryota, Metazoa, Chordata, Mammalia, Rodentia, Caviidae.
CUGCUCACGUUGGCAGCGCAUAUACUAAAACUGGAACAAUACAAAGAAGAUUAACACGGCCCCUGCACAAGGAUGACAUGCAAAUUUGCGAAGCAUUCCAUAUUUUU